CUGUGAAACAAGAUACAGACCAGCGGCGGACGGGUGAGUAGCACGUGGGUAACCUGCCCAAGAGAUCGGGAUAACACCUGGAAACAGAUGCUAAUACCGGAUAACAACAGAUGAUGCCUAUCAACUGUUUAAAAGAUGGUUCUGCUAUCACUCUUGGAUGGACCUGCGGUGCAUUAGCUAGUUGGUAGGGUAACGGCCUACCAAGGCGAUGAUGCAUAGCCGAGUUGAGAGACUGAUCGGCCACAUUGGGACUGAGACACGGCCCAAACUCCUACGGGAGGCAGCAGUAGGGAAUCUUCCACAAUGGACGCAAGUCUGAUGGAGCAACGCCGCGUGAGUGAAGAAGGGUUUCGGCUCGUAAAGCUCUGUUGUUGGUGAAGAAGGACAGGGGUAGUAACUGACCUUUGUUUGACGGU
RNAcentral lists this ribosomal RNA (416 nucleotides) under uncultured Lactobacillus sp. RNAcentral describes it as "bacterial SSU rRNA". It matches the Rfam family "Bacterial small subunit ribosomal RNA", at positions 72 to 476 of the family's 1533-position model. Lineage: Bacteria; Bacillati; Bacillota; Bacilli; Lactobacillales; Lactobacillaceae. The record is from RNAcentral.